This 635-nucleotide ribosomal RNA is filed under the name Azorhizobium sp. STM 3321. Its description in RNAcentral is "partial 16S-23S ribosomal RNA intergenic spacer". The stretch from base 95 to 167 matches the Rfam family "tRNA". Lineage: Bacteria; Pseudomonadati; Pseudomonadota; Alphaproteobacteria; Hyphomicrobiales; Xanthobacteraceae. The record is from RNAcentral.
GUGAGGUCGGACGUUCGAGUCGUUCCCAGGCCCACCACUGAUCCAGAAGGUUGGGCGUCGAUCUGAAGCUCUUGUUGUGCUGAGCGUGCUCUUAGGGGCCAUAGCUCAGUUGGGAGAGCGCGUGCUUUGCAAGCAUGAGGUCGUCGGUUCGAUCCCGUCUGGCUCCACCAUUUCCUGCAUUCCGAUGAGGGAUGCGGUCGAGAUGGUCGGUGGUGAAGCGCUUCAAGCGUGAGAGAAGAACAUCCGGUUCUUUUCUCUUCUGUCCGCACAAUCUGUUUCGCUGAUCCUCAGCAAGCCCCCAUGUGGGCGAGGAUGAGCGCUGCUGUCUGACAUUGUGAAUCUGGGCGUUUUCGAUUUGCUGGCCGCAAGGCUGGCGGGUCGUGACAAUCAAGCUUUCGGGCUUGAGAGGACACGAUCAUCGGGUGCUGACCGCACCGGUGUCGAAAAUGUCGAAGCUGGUCUUUAGCGUCCAGCCCUCUCGCUGAUCCGCCUGGUGCGGAUUGAUGAGAACCUCAGCCGAGGAGUGGGCAUGGACGAUGAGAACGAUCAAGUGUCUUAAGGGCAUUCGGUGGAUGCCUUGGCGCUAAGAGGCGAAGAAGGAACGUGGUACGCUGCGAUAUGCUUCGGGGAGCUGC